GGAUAAAUAGUUUAAAUAAAACAUAACACUGAAAAUGUUAAAAAGGGAUGUCACCCUUUCUCCA
Molecule: transfer RNA, 64 nt
Filed under: Sinohyriopsis cumingii
Lineage: Eukaryota; Metazoa; Mollusca; Bivalvia; Unionida; Unionidae
Description: Hyriopsis cumingii tRNA-Phe
Rfam family: tRNA
About the family: Transfer RNA (tRNA) molecules are approximately 80 nucleotides in length.
Source: RNAcentral